ACCUUUUGGGGGUCUUAGGCGGCAGGUAAGAGGGUCUCCUUCCCGGACAUCCUAGGAGUCUUCUUGGCCUCAGGAAUUGCUCCCUUGCCUGGGAACUACCACGCGGUCUAGAGAGACCGUGGGCUAUCGAAGAGUCUGGCCCGGGGUUGGCCCUGCCCGUCACUCCAGGAGGAUGGACAGAUGCAGGGACAGAAAGAGGGACUGGAGUUCACCUAGAGGUUUCUUAUUAACUGUCCCCAACCAGCUAAUUCCACCGCUUGUCUUCAAAGCUCUCUGCGCCGGGAGGCUGAGUCCGAGGACGGCGGGCGGAGGCGGGAAGAGUCGAGACCCCAGGUUAUGGAACGGCGCGGAGACAGUGGCCACAGGGAGCGGGAACUCGGGUGCUGAAAGCAGUCCUGGAGGGCUGCGCGGGGGCGAGGCCGAGACCACUCCC
RNAcentral lists this long non-coding RNA (433 nucleotides) under Equus caballus (horse). RNAcentral describes it as "lncRNA (ENSECAG00000047294.1)". Lineage: Eukaryota; Metazoa; Chordata; Mammalia; Perissodactyla; Equidae. The record is from RNAcentral.